RNAcentral lists this ribosomal RNA (504 nucleotides) under uncultured bacterium. Its description in RNAcentral is "bacterial SSU rRNA". It matches the Rfam family "Bacterial small subunit ribosomal RNA", at positions 29 to 524 of the family's 1533-position model. The record is from RNAcentral.
AGUGAACGCUGGCGGCAGGCCUAAUACAUGCAAGUCGAACGGCAGCACAGCAGAGCUUGCUCUGUGGGUGGCGAGUGGCGGACGGGUGAGGAAUACGUGGGAAUCUGCCCAGUCGUGGGGAUAACGUAGGGAAACUUACGCUAAUACCGCAUGCGCCCUUCGGGGAAAGCCGGGGACCUUCGGGCCUGGCGCGAUUGGAUGAGCCCACGUCGGAUUAGCUAGUUGGCGGGGUAAAGGCCCACCAAGGCGACGAUCCGUAGCUGGUCUGGGAGGAUGAUCAGCCACACUGGAACUGAGACACGGUCCAGACUCCUACGGGAGGCAGCAGUAGGGAAUAUUGGACAAUGGGCGCAAGCCUGAUCCAGCCAUGCCGCGUGAGUGAAGAAGGCCCUCGGGUUGUAAAGCUCUUUGUCCGGAAAGAAAAGCGCCGGGUUAAUACCCUGGUGUCCUGACGGUACCGGAAGAAUAAGCACCGGCUAACUUCGUGCCAGCAGCCGCGGUAAU